This 1071-nucleotide ribosomal RNA is filed under the name Triticum aestivum (bread wheat). RNAcentral's name for it is "partial small subunit ribosomal RNA". The record is from RNAcentral. Lineage: Eukaryota; Viridiplantae; Streptophyta; Magnoliopsida; Poales; Poaceae.
AUGGCUCAAAAUUUUGAGGCAUACGUGUUGGGGUGCAAGAGCUGCACUCCCCCUUGGGAAUGUUUUGUCAAAGAGUCCGCUGUCAGACAUAUUGAUUUUGAUGGCACUUCCAGGGAGUUUUAUCCGGGAAAGUAUAUCAUGGGCCCUAUGAUAUCCGAUUGUCUAAUGGACAGGCAUGCAGAGUUGGAGUCUUAUUCUCUAAUGAAGAACUUCAGACAUCCAAAUGUUGUCACUGUAGAGAACUUCUACGAUCACUGGGGUUGUCCUAGAUUUGUGUUAUCAUGGGUUGAUGGGAGCUUGUCUGCAUGGAUGAAGGGAGAUGGGGCUGGGAGGAUGUUUAAGUCCACCAUGAAGGGGAGUGUUCCCACGGGUGCUCUAAGACGAAUGAUAAUUGAUCUAUGCAGUGGGCUUGAACGUUUAAUAGAGGAGCAACUUUAUCCUCUAAAGAUUGAACUUAAUGACAUUUGUGUGCGCCGGCAGGGCCAAAGGGGAAUUCCAUUGCUCUACAUCAAUAGAGUUGAAAAGUUGUCAGCUUUUGAUGGAAGGCGUCGGCAGGGGAAGCUAUGGGGGGAUAUUAGAAGAGCUCUGAAGGAAGUGUACAAGCAGGCUCCAGCGGGUAUUGAUCCAAUUGCCCAAAGGUUCAUCAACUAUGUUGGAGUGAAAGACGUCAGUGCACUGCAGGGUUUCCUGGACCUCUGGGACUAUCGAAGGAAGGCUAGAUUUUUGCUCUCUAUAAUUUCAAAUGACAUUUCAGAGAUCCUAGACCAUCAGGAAAAGACACGCGGAGCGGUCUAUAGGACAACCAGCCGGUAUGACUACUUAAGACUCUGUAAGGAUGCCAUCAAACACUGGCCUGUUAUGCCUGGUUCUGUCAAGGGUGACUGUGCUACUUUGGAGCGAUUUAUUGACAAGAUGGAGAGGUGGAACCCACUGAUCUGGUGCUAUCUCUACGAAGCCACUGCAUUAAACAACGGGAACGUCAAAACUUGUCGGGUGUGGUGUCCACCAUGGACGGUGUCAACAGGCGCGAGGAGGUUACCUGGGCUACGGACGGAUCCGAGGGAAAAUUAA